RNAcentral lists this ribosomal RNA (591 nucleotides) under uncultured fungus. RNAcentral's name for it is "eukaryotic LSU rRNA". The stretch from base 211 to 364 matches the Rfam family "5.8S ribosomal RNA". Lineage: Eukaryota; Fungi. The record is from RNAcentral.
AGUCGUAACAAGGUCUCCGUAGGUGAACCUGCGGAGGGAUCAUUACACAAAUAUGAAGGCGGGCUGGAACCUCUCGGGGUUACAGUCUUGCUGAAUUAUUCACCCUUGUCUUUUGCGUACUUCUUGUUUCCUUGGUGGGUUCGCCCACCACUAGGACAAACAUAAACCUUUUGUAAUUGCAAUCAGCGUCAGUAACAAAUUAAUAAUUACAACUUUCAACAACGGAUCUCUUGGUUCUGGCAUCGAUGAAGAACGCAGCGAAAUGCGAUAAGUAGUGUGAAUUGCAGAAUUCAGUGAAUCAUCGAAUCUUUGAACGCACAUUGCGCCCUUUGGUAUUCCAAAGGGCAUGCCUGUUCGAGCGUCAUUUGUACCCUCAAGCUUUGCUUGGUGUUGGGCGUCUUGUCUCUAGCUUUGCUGGAGACUCGCCUUAAAGUAAUUGGCAGCCGGCCUACUGGUUUCGGAGCGCAGCACAAGUCGCACUCUCUAUCAGCAAAGGUCUAGCAUCCAUUAAGCCUUUUUUUUCAACUUUUGACCUCGGAUCAGGUAGGGAUACCCGCUGAACUUAAGCAUAUCAAUAGGAAGUAAAAGUCG